This is a long non-coding RNA of Centrocercus urophasianus (Greater sage-grouse), 9288 nucleotides long. RefSeq lists it as uncharacterized. The transcript is spliced from 7 exons. The record is from RefSeq and is a predicted model, not a curated record. NCBI's taxonomy places the organism in Eukaryota, Metazoa, Chordata, Aves, Galliformes, Phasianidae.
CAAAUAGCCAUAAAUACCUAUGAGAGGAAAAAAAGAGCACAGUUUUAGCCCAUCGCAUAGCCUUGUUCCCCCUCAUUAUGUGAAUGCACAAACAUCUGAAAGAAGGGAGAGAGAAAUGCCAGGGGCAGUAAGUAGGCACAGGUGAAGACUGAAAGGUGAUGACCAUGACCCUAGAAAAAGUUUUGAGAAAACAACCUCAUUACGAGACGUACCUUGCAAUAGAUGUUUGUUUAAGUGGAAAUCCACCAGAGCAGCUGCCCAGUGCAACGGUACAUAUUUGCUUCUGAAUCCUUUCUCAAAGGCACUAUUUAAACAUGUUGAUGAACUGGGCUGGAUUUAUCCCCACCUCCAUUCCAGCAAAACAAGGAGACUCAGAAGAUAAAAUUUGUUUUGUUAUUGCAAGUGGUGCUCCAUGGUUUUAGACAUUAUAGCGAACAUCUUUGCCAUCUCAAGGAUAUACACAGAAUGUUUCUGCUUGAUGUUUUCUGUGAGGAGACCAGGGAAUUGAGGAGAGGUCAGGGAGCUGCUGACCUCUCUACCGGAUGAUGGAGGUGCAGCAUUAAAUAAGAGAUGUGAACUCACCAUAGCAACUCCUGCAUCACAUUGCAGAUAUGCUGCUUCUAAGAUACGGCAAAUGUUUCUGAAGAAAUGUACCUGAAUUUGAGGUUCUUCUGUUACUGCUGGAGAGUUUUCCUGGGAGACACAUGAAACAUCUUUAGUCAGUUGGUUAUGUGCUCAAGGGCUAAAGGCUUCUUUCCCCUCUGUAUCUAGCCCAUGGGAACUAAGUGGAAGAGGAGGAGACAGAGGAGAUUGCUAGUUCUACUAAGUUACUACUCAUAUAAAAGCUUAUCUGGUUAUCUUUUCUUGCUUCUUCUCCUAAGACUACUUUAGCCUCCUUGCACUAAAAAAACUAACUAAUUUGUAGUGAACAGGAUAUCUGAAGACAUCUACUCUUUUUCUGGAGAAAAGAUUACACAGGGUGUUGUUCAAAAUAGUGGCUCACAAUGGAUACAAAAAUGCUUCUCAUUUGUGAUUGUUGAUGGCCAACAUGGCCAACACAGUAAGAUGAACCAUAAUGUACCUAGAUGCCAAUUGUCAAUAGAAACACAGAGCAUUAUACCUACAGAUUUCUUCUACAGAAUAUCACAAAACUAAUAAAAAUUAAGAGUGUUGCAUGAAUUGUCUAUGGGCUUUACCUCUGAAUUUUUAUCCAAUGUAAUCAACAGUAGCACUUGCUUUCUACAUUUCAUGGAAGAAAUCACUGUACUUCAUGAAAAACAUCAACCACACCUGGGCACUGCAAUAUUGCUUUAGCUCCAACGUCAGUUGAAGGCCAAAUGAGAGAUCUCUGCAACCCCACAAUCUCUGCAAUCUCUGCAAAAGAUGUUACUGCAAAAUAUGUAGGUAUCUUCAGUAUACUGAAAUUUCUCUGAAAUGUCCAAGUUCAGAAAAGCAAAUACAAUAUGAUCCAGCAGUUAUUGUUCAGACGUACUCUAGAUUUAUGCCCUCUAUUUAAUAUUCUGAACUCUUUGUUAGAAAUAUUUUACGUCUCAGAUAUUAAUAGUGAAAAAUCUUGAGCUAUGUUAAAACAAAUUAAUUUGUUAAAAUAUCAGUUAUCAGUCUAUGAAGAUGUCAUUGUUUUUGCCAGAAAAAAAAUAAUGUGAAAAUUGAGCAACCAAAUUGAGCUCUGAAACAGCUUCAGUGACAGAGACAUAAUUAAAUAAAUCUAAAAAAAAAAAAUAAAUUAAAACAGAUAUUAAUAUGCAAAAGUUCUAUAUUCUUUAAUAAUUAUUUAAAAGAAUUCUACUAAGCAGUAUAACCUAUUUUUUUGGCAAUAUUUUCAAAAUAUAACUUUUAAAGAAACCAGGAUCUUCCUAAAUGUAGAAGUUAUGAAAAGAAUCGUUUGAAACAGGCUCAGACAUAUUACUCUUUAAUAAUUCCAGUUUCUGGUUUGUCAGAUGUGAGGUAGGAGUAAGAAUAGGAGUAUAUGCUUGGAUAAAAUGCCCUUGCUAUUACUGAGAAAUACGUGCCAACAGACACAGAUUAGGGUUGAAAUGGUGCUGCCCCCAGAUUACUGAAAUUUAUGUCUUUGAAUGUACGUUUUUUUCGUGCUCAAAGUUGCUUUUUCUGUGCUUAGAAAUCAUAGACUUGUGCAAACUAUCAGACUUUAUACAUAUAUAUGUAUAUAUAUGAAUAAGAAUGAAAAAGUUUACUAUCAUGGAAUAUAGUUUUAAUAACUUCCUUAUGGCUAAAACUGAUUUUUAGCUUACUGAUGAAUGUUUAUCACUGCCUUAUUUUACCAAUACCUUUCGAUUAUUUUGAAUUUCUAGGCUUCUAAUGAUUUAGAAAAUAAAUAAGAACUGUUUAGUGAAGUUUAUUUUAUUGUCAAAAUUCUUGCUCUUAUAUACCUCAGAAACCAAGUUAAAAGUUUAAACUACUGCUGCAUUUCAUGAAGCCCUUGCUGCCAUACUGGAUCUCCCAGUCUUUGCCUGUUUGCUAAGGAGUGAACUACCCAUUAUUUUGACACGCUCCUUCAUUUGUCCUGAGAAUUCAUGACAUUUCAAAAUAGGAAAAUUCAGGAAGGUCUUCUCCCAUGGUACAGAAAUGCAAAAAACUGAAGUAUAAUGAAAAUAUUUUUAGUAACAAAAUUGGAGAUUUAAUUAAUGGCUCUAAGUGUAUAUACAUACAUGUAUAUGUAUACACACAAAAUAAACGAACAUAUUUCUUUACCAAAGAUGCUUAAAAAUCCUAUGUCGAAAUCUCCUCAUGAAGCGCAUCCACCUCAAAUGUAACUUAUUUCAAUUACAGCACUGUUUCCCUACUGUAUUUUCUAUUUUCUUUCUCUCAUGGAGCAUUAUUUAUGUUCACAGUAACUGAUGAUCCACAGCAACAAAAGGAAUGAUUCCCAGCAAUACUGUGUGUUCCAUGCCCCAGACCCAAGCAGCCUUGACCAUGGCUCGUAAGCCUAUCUCUCCCCUACCUUAGGACUUGGGUGCUUCUGGUUGUAGCUCAACUCUCCAUAUGACCCAGAAAUCUGCCCUCUGAAGACCCCAGAGGGAUGGAUGCCUUUCCUCCCAGAAGUACUGCACUAAGAUGCAUUUAACCUCCGAUUAUUACUGUUAGUGGGUAUAACACUUGCUGCUAUUCUGAUAGAGAAACACCACCGAAGGUUGCCUAUGCCAGGAUUUACAGCGCACUUUCCAGCUAAUUUUCUUUGAGAUGCUCAUGAUGCUCAGUUUUGACUGUGCUGUUGGCCAGCCUAGGGAUAAUGUAAACCAUGUUCCCAUGGUCAUACAAUGUAUUGCAGAGCAACCUAGCAGUGCCUUAGCUUCCCAUCUUCUCCAACCCUCCUUUCCAAGUAAUAAUACCUCUGCAAUUCUGUUUCUGUGGAAAGGGUACCGUUUGUUUCCUUUUUCUCUUUGGUGUCUAUUGGAUUUGGCAUUGGCCUGCUGAUUGUCUCUUAUGGUGACAUCCCCCACAAGUUAGAUACUGAAAACUAGGAAUUGUUGGUUGUAGUUUUCAGAUGUCUGAAAUAAUAAUGCAAACUGAACUGAUUAGAAAAUAAUAAAAAUCUAGAUUAUGAUUAAAGAUUUAGGUUUAUACACUCACUGUAGUUGUAGACAUGUAAGUAGUCAAUGCUAGUAUAGCAUAGUAUCAAUGCUGGCUACGAUUUCCCUGUAUUGACUUGAGGUCCUUCUGUUUAGCAGUCAUGGGGGUAUAUCUGUGCUGUUAUUCGUCCUUGUCAACAUAAAUCACUAAACCCUCAACAACCCGUAUCUAAGUGAGCCAAAGGUUUGCUUAUAUGGCUAUCCAAACAAGUGUGACAGAAGUGUGCCAUUUUCUGUAACCAGUGACAGACAGAGGUGGGACAUGACCAGCAAUGCGCUCGGCUCCCUUUGAAUCCAUGACCUGAAUAGACAAGGUUCUAUUUAUAACUGGAUUUAUUAAAAAUGAGAUUUGGCAUGAGCACAGGCUUUCGCUUGGACUUUGAUCUCUGAUCUGAAGGGGAGGUCUCAGUCUCAACCUCUUCCCCGAAUGAAACAGCAGCCACAACAGUGAGCCAUGGAAAUAUCAUAUCUCACUAUUCAUAUUGGUAUAGAUAUUCAUUGGGUACACCAUGUCAUUAAAAAUCAAGUCACAUCCCUCUGCCUUAUUAACUUUGCAUCACAAGAGUUUAUUUCUUCUUCACUUUUCUUCCACCUGCUUUACUUCUGAUUGAAAGAAUCUGUUCCAAAUAUCAUGAAAUGUCAUUAAAAAUUACUGUUUUAUACUGCUUAAAUUUUUAUUUUCCUUAACAUCUCAUUUCUAGUUUUCUUUUUAAAGAAAAGUUGGUGUCAUCUUUGUAAAAAUUAAGUGUCAGCAUUUACGUGGCUUAGAGUAAUACCACAAAACUUCCACUGUUACCUCUUUAGAUUUAUGGACAAGAUGACAAUUUUUUUCUAGUUCUGUGUUUUUGUGGUGCUUUCAUUUAAAAUGUUUGAAAAAGAAUGAUUAUUUCCUUUUUGUGGUAAAUAUUUCUUUUUAGACAUCACAUAGUAAUUCCUUAUCAAUGGACUUUGAAAUUAAUGAGCCUAAGAAAUGGAUAUAGUAUUGUAUAGCUUACUGCUGAGUAUAAAAUUCAUUCCAGUCAAGAGAAUGGAACACAAUGAGUCCUGGACAGAUAUAGGAAAACAGCUAAACCUGUCCCAUUGACUUACUGAUACAAAUGGUCCAUUUUAAAUAUUGUACUUCAAAGUCAUAUCUGUCAAUUCAUAUUUCUUCCCCUACUUCUUUUUCUUUAAAAUUUUACUUUCAGCUAUUUGAUUUAAAGGAAAAAAGAGAUCAAAUUCUCUUCAUUUAUCUUUUUACUGGAAAUAUUUUGGAUAAGUUCUUUUUGUUCUUGUUUUCCCUGCCCGUGCAGUAAUUUUUGCAUAGAAUAUCAUUAUGGAUAUAUUUUGCAAUGUAGUAACGGGUAACACAACACAAGCACAUUCAUUCUCUUAAUUAAAUGAGCUAUAGCUCUUUGGCUGAAGCAAACAAUAAUAUUAUUUAUAACUCAAAUUACAUUAUAUAAAGUGUGCUCUCAUCUAUAAAGAGAUGACAUGGUAGGGUUCUGUGUUUGCUUUAUUACUAUUUUUUUUCUUCCCAAUGAGUUUCUUGUAGACCUCUCUUAAUUUACAAAUAAAACCAUGACUUUUGUGAUUACCAGCAAUGAAAAUUCAUCCAGAGAUCUUAGAUCAAGCUGUGUUUUUUCUGGUUUAUGCCAAAAUAGACUCCAGUUCACCUCCUCAGCGCUGAGGUGGCUCUUGGAGGGCUGGUGGGAACAAAAAGCAAUAACAGUGCUUUUGCCAGUAAAAAGAUGAAGUGAACAAAUUCUUUCAGAAGUAGGAAGACACCAGUUUUCAAGUCAGCUUUAUAGAAAACAGCCGUUGUUUGAAACAAAUGCUCAUAGCAGGGUUGGGUGGAAAGGUCAAUUGCUUGAUGUUCCUCUGCAGCCUUCCUUCAUUUCUUCUCCCUUUUGAUCAUUCCAGCUCAGCAUGCAUUUGCAGUGAUUCCUGAAGCUAAGCAGCUUGUGGUUUGGUUGCACAGCCUUUUUCCCUGGUGGAAGUGCUGGACUCAUGUGUUUCUGCCCUCUCCUAAUUGCUGGCAUGAUUAUACUUGUGGUGAUACAACUGUGUCUGGGGCUGCUCCAUGCAUUUGAUGGAACUGAUUUUUGUGGCAGCUCUUGGGCUCAUUGCUUUGGAGCCAAGUCUCCAAGACACAUUGGCAAUUCUAUCUUGCUCACCUUCCAUUGGCUUUUCUUCUUGCUUCAGGAUUUGUGGGAUAUCAGGUGAAAUCUAGGGAAAGCAGUUUCCCAAUUAUUUUUCUCAAAUCCCACCUGAAGACGGAAUUGUGCACAGUUCUUCUCACUUAGCUGUAAAACUCUCCAAAAUUGUAUGGUUUUUGUUGCUGUUGUUGUUGUUGCUUGUUGUUUCUUUUCUCUCUCUCUUUUUUUUUUUUUUUUUUUUUUUAAGUUACUCUCCCACAGCAUAAUUGGCAAAUUAUACCUUUGCUCUGUCUGAUGGAAAUACCAUGCUUUGGAAUGAUCUAUGAAGGCUGAGUUCCGCCAUGCUGAUGGAGUGCCUACCUUCCUUUGGGAACUUGGCAUCCCAGUAGGACCCAGACACAGGACCUAAUGCUCUCCAGCCAUGGACCCAUGAAGGGAGAGAGGCUCCUCCUUGCUCAGCACAGGGCAAAGAAGUGUGGACAUAGCACAGCCUUUUUAAAAUCUGCAGUUUAAUGGGACCUGGACAGAAGUGAACACAUUUACAGUGAAAUGCAGUUUGGGAAGACAGAUAAUAACACUCAAUUUCUACUCGUCAUUUUACUGAUGGAUAGUCUAGAGGAGGUGAGGUGUUUCAUCUUGGGAUAAUUUUUGUGGCUCACCUCUGGAUGUGCUCCAACAGAUCACAUCUAUGCUGUACUGAGAACUCAACAUCUGGACACAGUACUCCAGGUGAGGUUUCCCCAGAGCAGAGUGGAGGGCCAGGAUCUCAUUAUGCUGGCCAUGCUUCUUUCAAUGCAGCCCAGGAUAUAGUUAGCUUACUGGGCUGUGAUGGCACACUGCUGGUUCACAUCCAGUUUGCCAUCCACCAGUACCCUGAAGUUCUUUUUGGCAGGGUACUGCUCAAACCUUUCUAGGUCUUUCCAGAUGGCAUCUUUUCCCUCAGGUCUGUUGACUGCUCCACACAGCUUGGUGUCACCCGCAAACUUGAUCCCAACAUCUAUUGCCAUACCACCAACAUUUGCCUCUGAUGUCAUGGGCAAGCAUAAUAAAAGAGGAGGCAUUACUUUUGGAGCUGCCCUCUGCAAAUUUUAUUCUAAAAUUUUGAAUGUCUGUAGUAAUACCACUCCAGUCUAUAUUUAAACUGUCACUAAGUUAUCUUUAGUUGCAACAGAAUCCUACUAAUUCUAGAAAAAAGAACAACUGCUGAGUGACGUACUUGGGGUAAAUGCAGUAUUAAAAGUUUUAAUUUAAAAGUUUUUAUUCACAAAUUGACAUGAAGUCUCAGCAGGACUUCAGGACAAAAACUGAAGUUAUUUGGCAUACUUUAUGUAUAAUUGGGCUCAUUAACUGCAAGACUCAGCACAAGUCACAUUUUCCAAGUAAGAUCCUGAUGUACCCUACUUCACCUGGACACUUUCUAAUUAAUACUGAAAUACAUAUACAACUCCCAGCUCACUCCAUUGCCCAGCCCCCAUCAUUCCUUAACAGAAGUUUAAGGUUGUGUGAUCAAGCACCUGAAGGGCCGUGCUCUCAGGUCAUGCCCAUUGCACAAGCAUGCCUAAUGUUCAGUGCUCUGGUGUUUCCAUGUUCACUGUUGCUAUGCCUGCCAGUGUGGAGGUAGCAAGUAAAUCCUGGAAAGUCCCAGUAAACUUUUAUCAAACAGAUUUGGAACAUUUGGCUGCCAAACACUGUAGCUGUUAUGUGAACUAAGCCUGCAGCUCUCAGGGAGCUUGUAAUCUUCUGAGCCUGUAGACAUGUCAGUAUUUGAUCCAACAUGACUCAAAAGCACCUUAUGGGUUCAGUUGAAACUAACUGUAAGUCAAAGUCCAGUUUGGCAAAACAUCUGAGCCUAAAAAUACUCUUAGAAAUUGUAAAACCUGGAAAUGUUUCUUCUGCAAAUAAUUAACAGAGGGCAUAAAAUUUUUUAUUUUGAAACCAUUGCUUUGUUUCGAAAGUGACUGAAGUGUUACGGUGAAGUCAAGGAAGAAUUAAAUAAGUUCAGAAUAAAAUGAUCAAUUAAAACAUCUAGUUGGUUGAACUGCCACAGGCUGCUCUAUAGCCAGUAUGUAGAAAGCACUAACGUGCCAGUCUCAUGUCUACUGGGGAGAAAAAUAAAGCAGACAUGUUUUGUGUUAUUCAGCACCAUUUCAAGUUAUGCUUUCACGGAAUUGAGUCUGAUAGACUACUUCAUUGUGAUUCAUCUGCCUCGGCAUGCUGAAGAACAGAAAGCAAACAGGUUCAGAAGAGAAGGCCAUGACCUCAUCAAUUUGAAUACCCGCCCUACUUUGUGGCUGUCAUUAACCUGCAGUCGUUGACCAAAGGAAUCAUAAAUGUUCUAUUACAAGUAGUGACUGAUAUACUGGCUUUAAAAUCCACAGACAUAUCUGUUAAAUGAAUCAGCAACAGUUACUUUGACUACAGUUACUCAGGCUUUAUUUUAUUCUGAAAUAUGGUAUGACCUGGCGUCUAUUUCACUUGCCCACACGGAAGUAAUGAUAUCCAAAAGUGGGAAGAUAAUAAAAUGCACAAAAUUUAUCAUAAUUAUUUCCAAUUAUUGCAGUUAAAGGAGCCUUGAGGAUUUUGGAGUAGAAAAAGCCCAUUCAGGCAUGCAGUCUGAAAUAAAUUCAACAUUCCGUUUGUAUGUGGAGUUGAGAUUAUAGUCUGCAGCUCAAAAAUAUCUCUUCAGUAGGGAGAGCAUGUCAGCACAUCCUUGAUUAUCACUUCUAUGACUUGGGGACAUGGUGCAGUACAAAUAAUAUAAACAUAACAUUAAAAUAGCAAGAAGAACAUAUCCUAUAUGCGGAAGAAAUUGCAAGGUGAUGUCAAAGGAACUAAAGAUAUCUCAAGGAAGUGCCAAUUUCUCAUUACACUAAGAUGGUGCAUUACACGUAGCAUAAGAAAAAGAAAACAUAUUUUAAACUCUUUAGUGUUUGCAAUAUAUUUGGUAUAAUUAUUUUAUGUUCAAUUUAUGUGUUUCCUACAACUUACUAUUUCUCUUGUUGUUGAAAAGUUUUUUCCCCUCCACUGUUUCUAAGAUCCCAUUUUAUCGGUGGUUGUUUGAAAAAUCAGAUUUCAUUGAUGUCUGAAAUAGCAGAGAAAAAUAUCAAUUGCAAUCAGUUCAAAGAGAUUUCAUAUAUGUGUAAGCUGAUUUCUAAUACCAUAUAAAAUGUUUCCACAUAAAACAACUUUUUGCUUUAAUAGAAGCACAACUAUUUCUAUAUUCCUUACCAUAAAAUCUGUCCAAAAUUUUUGCAUGUGGAUGUUGCUAUAAAUCAAAUUUUGUCUACCUGGUGUUGUUACAAAGGAGAAAAAAAUCUGAAUAAGGAAAUUCAAGCCAUUACCUACACAACUGAUAAAACGUCACAGACAGCAUUUUAAGACCCAAGAAGAAUCUAAAUAUGAAGACACGAUGACAAUCAAGAUUGUGACCUAGUAAUUCCCUCAGGUAAAUAUGGUUGUGACUUAACUUCUGCUAAAUGUUGAUGUGUGCUUUAAAUCCACUUAUUUCAAAAUUAUGUAAGAGAAAAAUUUGAUUCUUUCCA